This 58-nucleotide microRNA precursor is filed under the name Sorex araneus (European shrew). Its description in RNAcentral is "miRNA (ENSSARG00000018470.1)". Lineage: Eukaryota; Metazoa; Chordata; Mammalia; Eulipotyphla; Soricidae. The record is from RNAcentral.
AUGUAUAUAUGUAUACACACACCUGUAUAUUCACAGAUGUGUGUAUAUGUGUAUAUAU